CUCAGAACGAACGCUGGCGGCGCGUCUUAAGCAUGCAAGUCGAACGGCAAGAGGUAGCAAUACCUCCUAGAGUGGCGGACUGGUGAGUAACACGUGGGUGACAUACCCUUCAGAUGGGGAUAGCUAUUAGAAAUAGUAGAUAAUACCGAAUACGAGCACAGGGGUUAGAGAUCUGUGAGGAAAGGAGCUAAGGCUCCGCUGAAGGAAUGGCCUGCGGCCCAUUAGCUAGUUGGUGAGGUAAGAGCCCACCAAGGCGAUGAUGGGUAUCCGGCCUUAGAGGGUGAACGGACACAUUGGGACUGAGAUACGGCCCAGACUCCUACGGGAGGCAGCAGCUAAGAAUAUUCCGCAAUGGACGAGAGUCUGACGGAGCGACGCCGCGUGGAUGAAGAAGGCCGGAAGGUUGUAAAAUCCUUUUGAAACUGAAGAAUAAGCGUUGUAGGGAAUGACAGCGUGGUGACAGUAGGUUUUGAAUAAGCAACGGCUAAUUACGUGCCAGCCGCUGC
This 506-nucleotide ribosomal RNA is filed under the name uncultured bacterium. RNAcentral's name for it is "bacterial SSU rRNA". It matches the Rfam family "Bacterial small subunit ribosomal RNA", at positions 23 to 518 of the family's 1533-position model. The record is from RNAcentral.